GAUGAACGNUAGCGGCAGGCNUAAUACAUGCAAGUCGAACGAUAGUUGGGGCUUGCCCCCAACGAAAAAGUGGCGCACGGGUGCGUAACGCGUAUGCAACCUGCCCUCAUCUGGGGGAUAGCCCGGAGAAAUCCGGAUUAAUACCGCAUAAAAUCACAGCACGGCAUUGUGCAAUGAUCAAACAUUUAUGGGAUGGGGAUGGGCAUGCGUGUCAUUAGCUAGUUGGCGGGGUAACGGCCCACCAAGGCGACGAUGACUAGGGGAUCUGAGAGGAUGGCCCCCCACACUGGUACUGAGACACGGACCAGACUCCUACGGGAGGCAGCAGUAGGGAAUCUUGCGCAAUGGGCGAAAGCCUGACGCAGCCAUGCCGCGUGAAUGAUGAAGGUCUUAGGAUUGUAAAAUUCUUUCACCGGGGACGAUAAUGACGGUACCCGGAGAAGAAGCCCCGGCUAACUUCGUGCCAGCAGCCGCGGUAAUACGAAGGGGGCUAGCGUUGCUCGGAAUUACUGGGCGUAAAGGGAGCGUAGGCGGAUAGUUUAGUCAGAGGUGAAAGCCCAGGGCUCAACCUUGGAACUGCCUUUGAUACUGGCUAUCUUGAGUACGGGAGAGGUGUGUGGAACUCCGAGUGUAGAGGUGAAAUUCGUAGAUAUUGGGAAGAACACCGGUGGCGAAGGCGGCCAUCUGGCCCGUAAUUGACGCUGAGGCGCGAAAGCGUGGGGAGCAAACAGGAUUAGAUACCCUGGUAGUCCACGCCGUAAACGAUGAGUGCUAGACGUCGGGGAGCUUGCUCUUCGGUGUCGCCGCUAACGCAUCAAGCACUCCGCCUGGGGAGUACGGCCGCAAGGCUAAAACUCAAAGGAAUUGACGG
This 871-nucleotide ribosomal RNA is filed under the name uncultured bacterium. RNAcentral's name for it is "bacterial SSU rRNA". It matches the Rfam family "Bacterial small subunit ribosomal RNA", at positions 28 to 916 of the family's 1533-position model. The record is from RNAcentral.